Molecule: non-coding RNA, 1177 nt
Organism: Pelobates cultripes (western spadefoot toad)
Lineage: Eukaryota; Metazoa; Chordata; Amphibia; Anura; Pelobatidae
Source: the annotation of a GenBank genome assembly
AUGUUACUACUGCAAAGGCUUCUGGGUGGGCAUAUGCAAAUUAGUCCAACAAGGAAUCACAUUUUUGCCUCAUUCCAUUUUAAACAUGGAUUCUCUGUGUUUGCUAUAUACAACAGCUUUGAAACAGAGCUUAGGAAAAGAUGCAAAGCCAGUGAACCACUCAUGAGCUCCGACAUCACGGAGGAGAGGUGAUUAUUGUGGGAAAAUUUAUUUGACCACAGGAAAUGGAGCUGACUUAAGCUCCUCCUUUGGUGAAAGAAGGUUAAGCGUAGUUCCUACUUUGUCUUAUGUUUUAAAGAAAACUAGAUCAGAUAGGAAGAAAAGAUUUUGAGAGAGGAAGACAAGUUUGGCAUGACAGUGCCGCAUUAAAUGGAGCAGAUAUUUAUGUAAGAUUAAAUUUGGAUAUAUUUUAUAACCUGUUACUUCUGUUUCUUAUUUAUACUGCUCCAUUUGGAAGACUGGAGAAGUCACUUUUGAUGGUCAGCAGGUUAUACACAAAAUCUGUAUACUUGAAAACAGCACUAAGCCACUGGAUUAAAAGCACAUUUAGCACAUGGUAGAAUGUGUGUACAUCACAGAGAGCACUACUCUAUAGAUAUCUUCAAGAUAAACCAAUUAAGACAAAUCCCAAUAGGAUUAAACCUAAUAAGCCUAGAAAACAAAUUAAUCUUUACUAAUGAUGAAUCCCUUAUAUAGGAAGACACCGAAGGAUUGUUUUAGAUAUAAAUAAUGAGAAAUAACUACUGGAUAAUGGAAAGAGCAUUUGAGAGAUGGAGUUUAAUAUUUAGCUCCAGUAGCUAAUAUAGGUUCUUUUACAUGAUUACCCAGAAGCUUAUAAUCAGUGUAAUCAGUAUAGUAUGUUAGUAUGGGCAAUAUUUAGUAAAACCUCUGGCAUGUUGGUGUUACUCUAAAUUGCAAUUUAUUGUUAAUAUUUUGUAGAAACAAAACUACUUGAAUUCAGACAUGUCUGCUCACUCUAUACAUUAUUGUAACAUGCCCACCAUUCACUGAUAAUUUCUAUUAUUUUCAGAGAAACUACUUGGUUUUCAGACAGGCUUAGUUAUUUUUGCGUUAUAAUAAAGUUAUUCUUAUUUGAGACAAUCCUUUGAUGUCUCCUUAGAUAAGGAUUUCACCAUCACCAUCUUACUAUUCUACAGAAGUUUUUUUUUUAUAUGAC